This 31-nucleotide small RNA is filed under the name Arabidopsis thaliana (thale cress). RNAcentral's name for it is "ATSL288070". Lineage: Eukaryota; Viridiplantae; Streptophyta; Magnoliopsida; Brassicales; Brassicaceae. The record is from RNAcentral.
CCAUGGAAGCGGCAAUAGACAAAGAACGAAU